UACGGAGGGUGCAAGCGUUAUCCGGAAUCACUGGGUUUAAAGGGUGCGUAGGCGGUUUGAUAAGUCAGAGGUGAAAGCUAGCAGCUUAACUGUUAAAUUGCCUUUGAUACUGUCAGACUUGAAUCAAGUUGAGGUAGGCGGAAUGUGACAUGUAGCGGUGAAAUGCAUAGAUAUGUCAUAGAACACCAAUUGCGUAGGCAGCUUGCUGGGCUUGAAUUGACGCUGAGGCACGAAAGCGUGGGGAUCAAAUAGG
Molecule: ribosomal RNA, 253 nt
Filed under: uncultured bacterium
Lineage: Bacteria
Description: partial 16S ribosomal RNA
Rfam family: Bacterial small subunit ribosomal RNA
Source: RNAcentral